RNAcentral lists this ribosomal RNA (371 nucleotides) under uncultured organism. Its description in RNAcentral is "partial 16S ribosomal RNA". It matches the Rfam family "Bacterial small subunit ribosomal RNA", at positions 527 to 896 of the family's 1533-position model. The record is from RNAcentral.
GGAGGGGGCAAGCGUUGUUCAGAAUUACUGGGCGUAAAGGGCGCGUAGGCGGCCUGCCAAGUCAGGGGUGAAAGGCCCGGGCUCAACCCGGGAACUGCCCUUGAAACUGGCAAGCUAGAGUCCGAGAGAGGAUGGCGGAAUUCCCAGUGUAGAGGUGAAAUUCGUAGAUAUUGGGAAGAACACCGGUGGCGAAGGCGGCCAUCUGGCUCGGUACUGACGCUGAGGCGCGAAAGCGUGGGGAGCAAACAGGAUUAGAUACCCUGGUAGUCCACGCCGUAAACGAUGUGUGCUAGACGUUGGAGGUCUUAGGCCUUCGGUGUCGCAGCUAACGCGUUAAGCACACCGCCUGGGGGAGUACGGCCGCAAGGUUA